Molecule: ribosomal RNA, 495 nt
Filed under: uncultured bacterium
Lineage: Bacteria
Description: partial 16S ribosomal RNA
Rfam family: Bacterial small subunit ribosomal RNA
Source: RNAcentral
GACGAACGCUGGCGGCGUGCCUAAUACAUGCAAGUAGAACGCUGAAGGAGGAGCUUGCUCUUCUGGAUGAGUUGCGAACGGGUGAGUAACGCGUAGGUAACCUGCCUGGUAGCGGGGGAUAACUAUUGGAAACGAUAGCUAAUACCGCAUAACAGUAGAUGUUGCAUGACAUUUGCUUAAAAGGUGCAAUUGCAUCACUACCAGAUGGACCUGCGUUGUAUUAGCUAGUUGGUGGGGUAACGGCUCACCAAGGCGACGAUACAUAGCCGACCUGAGAGGGUGAUCGGCCACACUGGGACUGAGACACGGCCCAGACUCCUACGGGAGGCAGCAGUAGGGAAUCUUCGGCAAUGGAAGGAAGUCUGACCGAGCAACGCCGCGUGAGUGAAGAAGGUUUUCGGAUCGUAAAGCUCUGUUGUAAGAGAAGAACGAGUGUGAGAGUGGAAAGUUCACACUGUGACGGUAUCUUACCAGAAAGGGACGGCUAACUACGUG